ACUUUGAAAGACAAAGACAGUGUAUUUUAAUGAACACUUCCCCUCACUCUUCAGGAAAAGACUGGUACAAGUCCUGAGGCAGAUGGAUCUAUGAGAAGAGUCUCUAUAUGGACUCUGGUUCUUCUCCCUCUCGUAUCACCAGGUUCUGCUGGUCCCCAGAGCCAUGCAUUGAGUUUUCAUUUAUUUUCUAUAUAGUUCUAGUCCGGUUUUAAUAAACAAUAUAUUCUCAGUCUUUCAUUAUAAAUUUGUAUCAGUCUAGAGUAAUUCCCAAGUAUACAAUUUGCUUUGCCAAGGAGGUCUGGCCUCCUUCUGGUCGCUGCAGAAAUAAGACUGACUUAUGUUCUCUGUCUCUCACUUAGCCCCAUGGAAGCAAGACCCCCAUUGGAUGCUGGCUCACCCUUGACUUACGUCGGAGUUUUCUGUCCUGAGUUUUCCAACUUCUGCAUGCAGUUUUCUCGGCCACACCAGCAAGAGGAUCUCACUAUGGCAUGCAGCACUCAAGGCAGGAACCUAUGAAAAGGUGUCUAGUGACCUAAUACCUGAAAGCCCCUGGUGAACAUAGAGGGGCAUAGACGGCUGUCUUCUUUUCCAGCAGCUCACAGCAUACUUGAAAAACAGUUCACAAACCCACACGAAUUUACAAAACAGAAGUUUGCUUAUGGCACAGGACAACAGUGAAGACAAGAUUACAGUGUGUGCAGGCCAUGUGUGGUCUCUAGAUGAGACUGAGGGAUGAUACACGUGCUCUAGGUCAUGGUGAUGAAAAAGACUGUGGAAGAUGCAGAGCUGGAGCUACAGAGUGAAGAGCAGAUUGGGUGGGUACAGACAGGGGAAAGUUGGAAGCACUGCUGGGCUGUGGGAGUGAGAGCACAUCAUGGGAAGGUGGACCCUGGCAUCCAGCACUGACCAGCAGGAGCCAUUCUUUCUCCUGUCAGAGCCUCAGCCCCUGUCCUUAGGAUGAAAAAUUGGAGGCUAACCAUGGGCAAUUCCAGUUCAGCAUGCUACAUUCUUUAAACAGGUGUUUGGAAAAUUGGGGUUUGCAGUGGCUGAAGGCAAAAUAGCAGAGAGACUAAUUCAAAAAAUAAAAAGAGAAGAAGAGUGGUCCUCCUUCACCCUGGAGUUGCAGAGAACAUUCGCAGUCCACUCCAUGGCAGUUGGGAAGAUGCCAACCUAGACUAAUUAUGCUCAAAUAUCUAGCAUAAUGUCAGGAUUCUUACAAUGUAACAAAAACAUUUUUGAAAGAAUUAUUAGGCAAAAAAUUAAAUCGGUAAAUAAGAGUUUUGGUCAGAUCAUGAAUAUUUUCCAAUGCUAAACCAAGAAUCUAAGAUUUUUCAUACUCAAAAUAAUGUCUGGGACAGGCUGGUGGUAGGAAUGUUAGGGGACAUGAUCAGCACAGUGACUCCGGAGAGAGCAUCCUGGAAGUUCACAUUCCACUCGCUUAUAAGUUCUUAGUUUUUAAACAAGGCUCAAGUCUAGUUUUCAGAUAUUCAAUAUUAAGUCAAGAUAAAGAAACUAAAGGGAUAGAAAAAGAUAUACCAGGAAAAUAAUAAUUAAAACAAAGUAGUUUAACAAAAGAAACUUUAAAGCAAAAUGCAAUUGUUAUUGAUAAAAAGAAUUUUUGAACCCAAUAAAAUGACCAGUUUUCAAGAAAGCUAUAGCAAUCCAUAGUCUGUAAAUGCCUUGUUAACAUGGUUUAAAAUACAUAUAAAGGUAGAAUUGCCUGAAUUACAAGGAUACUUUGAGGAACCUAAACAGAUAAAUAACUCUGAUGGGUGAAAAUGUAUAAAGUAGAAAACCAAAAAUAGAGAAAUUUAUGAAAAGCAAAAGUUUAUACUUUAAAAAAGACUAAUAACAUUAACAGACUCUAAAAAGAAAAAGAAAAGAAUUGACAAUGCUAAGACUAAAGUAGAGACUACAGUUGUCCCUUUGUAUCUAUGGAAAAUUGGUUAUACGACACACUACAGAUACUGAAAUCUGAGGAUCCUCAAGUGUCUGAUAUAAGAUGGCAUCGUAUUUGCAUAACCUAUGCACAUCCUCCUGUGCACUUUAAAUCAUCUCUAGAUUGCUUAUGAUACCUAAUACAAUGUAAGUGCUAUGUAAAUAGUCAUUAAAACGUAUUUUUAAAUUUGGGGGAUUUUCAUUUUUGUAUAGUUACUUUUUUUUAAAAUAUUUUCAACCCAUGGCUGGUUAAAUCGAUAGAUGUGAAACCCAAAGAUAAGAAGAGAUAACUGUAUAUAAAUAUGUAGAUAUUUUAAAAUUAUAAAAUAGAUGUCUUAGUUAGGGCUGCUAUAAAAAAUACCUUAGGUUGGCCGGGCACGGUGGCUCACGUCUGUAAUCCCAGCACUUUGG
RNAcentral lists this long non-coding RNA (2349 nucleotides) under Callithrix jacchus (white-tufted-ear marmoset). RNAcentral's name for it is "lncRNA (ENSCJAG00000072261.1)". The record is from RNAcentral. Lineage: Eukaryota; Metazoa; Chordata; Mammalia; Primates; Cebidae.